Long non-coding RNA from Anolis carolinensis (green anole), 1919 nucleotides. The record is from Ensembl. Lineage: Eukaryota; Metazoa; Chordata; Lepidosauria; Squamata; Anolidae.
CCCUAAAACUGUACAUUAAUCUCAUUUUUGUUGAAUGGUAUCUGGCUAAUGUGCACAUUUUUAUUUCAUUACUAUUGAUUCUUGGAAAUAACAGGAAAUAUCCUAUUUGGUCCAGUCAUCCCUGUUCUUGCUGCACAGAUGUGUAGCACAUUUCUAGAGAAGUCUCCUCAGAGGCAUCUUCCAUUUAAUUCAAUUGGUCAUCUUCCCAACACUGAUAUCAGCAUGGAGUUUGGCUUGGACAAAUGUUCGACAGUGGCAUUGAAGAAGGGAAAAAUCAUUGAAAGUGAGGGCAUAAAUAUGCCUAAUGGCCAAACAAUAAAGUGUCACCAGCCAGAGGCCUAUAAAUAUCUGGGCAUAUUACAGCUGGACAACAUCAAGCAUGAACAUGUGAAGACUGUGGUCAGCAAAGAAUACACACAAAGGGUCAGAAAAAUUCUCAAAAGCAAGCUCAAUGGAGGCAACACCAUCAAGGCCAUAAACACCUGGGCCAUACCUGUCAUAAGAUAUACUGCUGGCAUCAUAAAUUGGACACAGAUGGAACUGGACAAUUUGGACAGAAAAACAAGAAAACUCAUGACCAUUCAUCAUUCACUGCAUCCUCACAGUGAUGUUGACCGGCUAUAUCUGCCUAGAAGAUCAGGGGGCAGAGGACUCUUACAAGUAAAACAAGCAGUCAAAGAAGAAGAACAUGCCCUGGCAGAAUAUGUAAAGCAAAGUGAAGAACCUGCUUUGAUUGAAGUCAAAAAUCAGAAACUCCUCAAAGCACAGCAGACAAAAAACCAGUACAAGAAAGCCACACUACAAACUAGAGCUGACAGCUGGCACAACAAAACAUUGCAUGGAAAGUUCCUUGACAAAAUUGAAGGAAAAGCUGAUAAGGAGAAGACCUGGCUCUGGCUCACAAAUGGGACCCUGAAGAAGGAGACAGAAGGCCUGAUCCUUGCAGCCCAGGAGCAAGCCAUAAGAACAAACGCAAUUAAGGCCAAGAUUGAAAAAUCAGCUGAUGACCUAAAAUGCAGACUGUGCAAGGAAGCUGAUGAAACCAUUGAUCACAUCCUCAGCUGCUGUAAGAAAAUUGCACAGACAGACUACAAACAGAGGCACAACUGUGUGGCCCAAAUGAUCCAUUGGAACUUAUGCCUCAAAUACCACCUCCCAGCAGCAAAGAACUGGUGGGAUCACAAACCUGCAAAAGUAUUGGAGAAUGAGCAUGCAAAAAUACUGUGGGACUUUCAAAUCCAGACUGACAAAGUUCUGGAACACAACACACCAGACAUCACAGUUGUGGAAAAGAAAAAGGUUUGGAUCAUUGAUGUCUCCAUCCCAGGUGACAGUCGCAUUGACGAAAAACAACAGGAAAAACUCAGCCGCUAUCAGGACCUCAAGAUUUAACUUCAAAGACUCUGGCAGAAACCAGUGCAGGUGGUCCCGGUGGUGAUGGGCACAUUAGGUGCCGUGCCAAAAGAUCUCAGCCGGCAUUUGGAAACAAUAGACAUUGACAAAAUUACGAUCUGCCAGCUGCAAAAGGCCACCCUGCUGGGAUCUGCGCGCAUCAUCCGAAAAUACAUCACACAGUCCUAGACACUUGGGAAGUGUUCGACUUGUGAUUUUGUGAUAUGAAAUCCAGCAUAUCUAUCUUGUUUGCUGUGUCAUAAUAAAUAAUAAUAAUAAUAAUAAUAAUAAUAAUAAUAAUAAUAUAAUAAUAUAAUAAUAAUAAUAAUAAUAAUAAUAAUAAUAAUAAUAUAAUCAUCAACAACAACAACAAAAUUGAAGGAAAAGCUGAUAAGGAGAAGACCUGACCUGGCAAUGACUCACGAAUGGGACCCUGAAGAAGGAGACAGAAGGCCUGAUCCUUGCAGCCCAGGAGCAAGCCAUCAGAACAAAUGCAAUUAAGGCCACAAUCGAAAAAUCAGCUGAUA